UUUUCAUUGUAUAUUUUUGUAGAAGCAAGGAAUGUGGAGAUAAUGCAUGCUGCUAAGGAUGUAAAGGUCUUGUGUUUAGUGGUUGUGCCUGAGACACCAGUCACAGUUGUACCUUAUUUCCAUUUUAGGGAGUCUAUACAACAUGUAUACACUUGAGAGGCGAGCAUCAGAUUUAAUUUUGAAGAUGGAUGACUUUCAGAUGUUGUGAUGAAGAUUGUUGAAAGAGAUUAUCAACAUAGAACCAAUCCAUAUGAAUGUGCAAGUCAGGACUUGUACAACACCUGAGUACCCAGAUGACUGUUGAACUAAUUGGUGAACAAGAAAAGAUGUCAGAGAGGGGAAUCCAAUACAGAUGUCAUGAUCAAGAAAAUGUACUGUUAUCAAUGAUAUGAUCAAGAAUUUGUAAACUUGUGGCGAUUUAGAAUAUCUUAUCUGUAAUAUAACUCUUCAAUACUUAAUUGUUCACACAUUAUCAUCUUAUCUCUAUAUUAAUCGCCCCCUCUUAUAUAACCCCCUGCUGAUAGUAAUGACCUGUGUAUUGAUUCCUGAUCUUAAGGAUCUUAUAAUGUGCUCCUGAUUGUCAGGAGCGGAUCUUGAGUACAUGUAUAUAUAUAGUGCGACAGAAUUUUAGAAUAUGAUAGGAAGAUGGAAAUAUAGAAGACUUAGUAGAUAGAACUGUUAGAGAUAGAUAAAGUUACUUACUUAGUUGGAAUAUUACCUAAUAUUUCUUGGAUUUAUAUGUACAUGUGGUUAUUUAACUUGGAUUUUAUUUUUAGUGAAUUAUUUUUCCUGAAUGUUUCUAUUUGUGAUGUGCUGUGUAAAUAAACUGUAUACUAGAAAUUCGGCAUCUAUUUUCAAGAUAUGAGGAACAAUGAUAAAUUGAUUUAUUCAUGCAAACUGACAUUAUGAAAUGUGUUAUAAGACCGCCCGAUUCGGCGCUACAAACUAACUAGGAAAUAUCUUUGAAAUUUAUAGAUGAACAUGAAAGCAUUCAUUGUUUUAAAUGUUAUUCAUUGAGAGUUUUUGCACAAAUUCAAUUUUCAGUACAGUAAUUUAAACUGGAUGUUUGAUUUUCAGUACAGUUAUGUAAAAUGAAUAUGUUUCUUAUUUUGAUUGUCAGUUUCUCAACAGGACAUAAAUGUUAUUUA
Molecule: long non-coding RNA, 1148 nt
Organism: Saccostrea cuccullata (small rock oyster)
Lineage: Eukaryota; Metazoa; Mollusca; Bivalvia; Ostreida; Ostreidae
Exons: 3
Source: RefSeq, a predicted model, not a curated record